AUCUCGUAUAUGCUUGAUAUACGGACGUAUAUACGGUAUGUACGGUAUACAUACGUAUAUACGGUCUGUACGGUAUGUAUACUUAUAUACAGUUGUACAGUAUGCAUACGUAUAUACGGUCUGUACGGUAUGCAUACGAAUAUACAGUUGUACGGUAUGCAUACGUAUAUACGAUCUGUACGGUAUGCAUACGUAUAUACGGUAUGUACAAUUUCAUACCGUAGCCGAGCUGGAAGUUGGUGGGCCGAUUGGUAGGCCCAAAUAGUAAGCCCAAAUAGUAAGCCCAAAUAGUAAGCCCGAAUGGUAGGCCCAAAUGGUAGGCCCAAAUGGUAAGCCCAAUUGUUCGGCCCGAAUAGUAGGCCCAAAUGUUAAACCCAAAGUGGUUUGGGCCGGUUCGAAAUGUGGAUGGUCCGAUUUCUUCAGGCCCAAUUGGCCAGCCCUAGUGCUUAGCCCAAGGAUUGAGCAAGCCCAAGUCAUCAUCAUUGGAUGACAUAAUUUAUUGGCGUGCUUUUGGGGAUGAUUUGUUUUGAGUGAUGCAUCUCUAUGGUUGUGAAGAGUGGUGCAUGCUUAAGUUUUACUAUGGAGAUUUACCGUGAUGCUAAUUGAGUAGCGAAACACUUUGUGGGAGUGUUUACUGUGCUUGUAUGCCAGUACAGAGUGAUGAUCUAUGUGAUGAUCUAUGUGAAGAUCUAUGUAAGGAUCUUUGAGAUGAUCCAUGUGAUGAUUUUGUGUAAUUGAUGUGGAGUGAUGUUGAGCAGUUGUGUUGUGCGUUUACGUUUGUGAUGAAAGGAUUUAGUGGCCAUAGGAAUGUAUUUUUAUACAAAGGAUUGUGGCUUUGUAGAUUACUACAGCUUUGGGAAAGAUGGAUAUUCGAUGGUUAGGUCAACCUUAAUCGAGAGGAAUUGACUUACGCUCAAAUUUCGGGACGAAAUUUCUUUAAGGAGGGUAGACUGUAAUACCCCGGAAAAUCCAAAUUAAAUUCCAUGGAUUUUUAGAAAUGAUUUCACGAUAGUAGGAGCGAGUACGAAGCUUGGAGAAGUUGUGGAAUUAGUUCGAACGAUUUUAUUUUCGAAAACGAACGUUUUUAGGGGGUCAACAAAGUUGACUUUUUAUACGUUCAAAAUUUGGGAAAACUUCCUUCAUGAAAGUUGUAGAGCUCGUCGAUACGAGUUCGUGGACAUGUGGAACGCAUUAUUCGGAGUUCGUAUGAUUAAGUUAUGAAUAUUUGAAAAUUGGGAAUUUUCUAUAAAUAGGAAAAAUAACUGAUUUUUUUUAUUUAAGGACAAAAAAAAUUUCUUUUUGCGGAAGAGCCCCCAGCCCUCCCCGAUUCUCUCUCUCUGUUUUCCCCUCAGACCCGGCGGGUCGAGCUCGACCCGACCCGACAUUUUCACCCUCCUCCGGCCUCCUCUGGCCACGGACCCGGCCUUCCCCGAGCUCGCCGUCGCACGCCCAGCCGUUACCUGCCACCAUCUUGCCCCGCCGCUGCCCCCAGAUGGAGAUCGAAGACGCCCCAGCCGUGUGAACCCGACCCGACCGGAAAACGACUUUUCCGGCGUUGCAUGGGCCGAUCGUCCCCAUUUUCGUGAUCUCCUCCUCAUGCUGAUCAUCCCCAUACGCACGAGAUUAAUCCAACUUCAACGCUUGAUUUAGGACGAUCUAGGCCGAACCAGGCUUAGCUCCAGGUGAUUGACGGUUUGAGUUGGUGGACGAUUGUGGAUCGUAUUUUGAGCUGAAUUGAAGACGCAGCGGGAUUAUCGAGGUGAGUAAACCUCACGUGGUUCAUAUUACGAACCCAAUACAAUUAAUUGCUUUAUUUUGUUGCAAUCAUAUGAACUAUUGUUGGUGUUAUUAGACAUUCCUGUGUGAAUGUCUGUAUAUAUAUUAUUACGUGAAAUAAUAUGUAUUGUUGGAGUUGUGUUGAGUUAUUGUUGAGAAACAAUAUAUUGUGAGAGAUAUUGAGUUUAUUGUUGAGAAACAAUAUAUUGUGAGAGGUGUUGAGUUUUAUUGUUGAGGAACAAUAAAUUGUUGUGAUCUGUGGAGAUCACUAGGUCACGAGGUGACCAUGGCAUCUAUUAGUGAAUCACGCUCUCGUACCGGGCUGGUGGUUAUUAAUAGUAUUAAAUCGUAAUCACGUCUGUGGCCGGACGAGUGGUUACGUUCAGUUAGAGCUCUAGUCUGUCUGCCAAAUGUGGAGUGACCUUAUGAGUGAAAUUGAGAGUAACUCAUAAGUGUCAAUAUAUAUAUGGUAACCUUAUGAGGGAAAUUGAGAGUAACUCAUAAGGGUCUAUAUAUAUAUAUGAGUCUGUCUACCAAAUGUUGGGAAAUCUUAUGAGCGAAUUUGAGAGUAACUCAUAAGUGUCUAUAUAUAUAUAUGAGAGUGAGUGAUCUUAUGAGCUAAAUUGAGAGUAACUCAUAAGUGUCUAUAUAUAUAUAUGAGAGUGAGAAAGUAACGUGGGUUUGUGGUAGUCUUGAAAUCUAAUAAAUCAACAGUUCUUUCUUGUUUACUCAUACUGGCUGUAAAAAGCUUACCGGGUUUUGUGUUGUUGCAACUCCCGGUACACUAUUCAAAUUGUGUAGCGGGUAAUCCUACAGGACAGGAGAACCAGGACGGUGAUCGUGCGGUUAGAGCAAUUGUUAGAGUUUUACAACAAUUGUAAGU
Molecule: long non-coding RNA, 2659 nt
Organism: Rosa rugosa (rugosa rose)
Lineage: Eukaryota; Viridiplantae; Streptophyta; Magnoliopsida; Rosales; Rosaceae
Exons: 3
Source: RefSeq, a predicted model, not a curated record